RNAcentral lists this ribosomal RNA (468 nucleotides) under uncultured bacterium. RNAcentral describes it as "partial 16S ribosomal RNA". It matches the Rfam family "Bacterial small subunit ribosomal RNA", at positions 28 to 507 of the family's 1533-position model. The record is from RNAcentral.
GAUGAACGCUGGCGGCGUGCUUAACACAUGCAAGUCGAACGGAAAGGCCCUACCUUUCUUGGGUACUCGAGUGGCGAACGGGUGAGUAACACGUGGGUGAUCUGCCCUUCACUUCGGGAUAAGCCCGGGAAACUGGGUCUAAUACCGGAUAGGACGAUCUUUUGGAUGCCAGGGGUGGGAGUGUUUUCGCUGUGGGGUGAGCUCGCGGCCUAUCAGCUUGUUUGUGGGGUAAUGUCCUACCAAGGCGUCGACGCGUAGCCGGCCUGAGAGAGUGUACGGACACAUUGGGAGUGUGAGACGGGCCAGAGUCCUCUGGGGGGCAGAAGUGGGGAAUAUUGCACAAUGGGGGCAAGCGUGAGGCAGAGAAGCCGCGUGGGGGAUGACGGCCUUCGCGUUGUAAAAUCCUUUCGCUAGGGACGAAGCGUUUUUGUGACGGUACCUGGAGAAGAAGCACCGGCUAACUACGUG